This 620-nucleotide ribosomal RNA is filed under the name Acyrthosiphon pisum (pea aphid). RNAcentral's name for it is "Eukaryotic small subunit ribosomal RNA". It matches the Rfam family "Eukaryotic small subunit ribosomal RNA", at positions 4 to 563 of the family's 1831-position model. The record is from Rfam by way of RNAcentral. Lineage: Eukaryota; Metazoa; Arthropoda; Insecta; Hemiptera; Aphididae.
CUGGUUGAUCCUGCCAGUAGUCAUAUGCUUGUCUCAAAGAUUAAGCCAUGCAUGUCUCAGUGCAAGCCGCAUUAAGGUGAAACCGCGAAAGGCUCAUUAAAUCAGUUGUGGUUCCUUAGAUCGUACCCAAGUUACUUGGAUAACUGUGGUAAUUCUAGAGCUAAUACAUGCCGACAGAGUUCCGACCGUCGCGGCGCCCUCGGGCGUCGCUCGCGGGAGGAACGCUUUUAUUAGAUCAAAACCGGCCCGUCGCGGCGCGCUUCGUGCGCGUCCCGAUCGCGGCCCGCGCAAAGACCUGGUGACUCUGAAUAACUUCGAGCUGAUCGCACGGUCUCCGUACCGGCGACGCAUCUUUCAAAUGUCUGCCUUAUCAACUGUCGAUGGUAGGUUCCAUGCCUACCAUGGUGGUAACGGGUAACGGGGAAUCAGGGUUCGAUUCCGGAGAGGGAGCCUGAGAAACGGCUACCACAUCCAAGGAAGGCAGCAGGCGCGCAAAUUACCCACUCCCGGAACGGGGAGGUAGUGACGAAAAAUAACGAUACGGGACUCAUCCGAGGCCCCGUAAUCGGAAUGAGAACACUUUAAAACCCUUUAAACGAGGAUCAUUGGAGGCANNNNNN